RNAcentral lists this ribosomal RNA (1958 nucleotides) under Salmonella enterica subsp. enterica serovar Enteritidis. Its description in RNAcentral is "partial 23S ribosomal RNA". It matches the Rfam family "Bacterial large subunit ribosomal RNA", at positions 158 to 2141 of the family's 2925-position model. Lineage: Bacteria; Pseudomonadati; Pseudomonadota; Gammaproteobacteria; Enterobacterales; Enterobacteriaceae. The record is from RNAcentral.
CUGAAUCCAUAGGUUAAUGAGGCGAACCGGGGGAACUGAAACAUCUAAGUACCCCGAGGAAAAGAAAUCAACCGAGAUUCCCCCAGUAGCGGCGAGCGAACGGGGAGGAGCCCAGAGCCUGAAUCAGCAUGUGUGUUAGUGGAAGCGUCUGGAAAGGCGCGCGAUACAGGGUGACAGCCCCGUACACAAAAGCGCAUGUGCUGUGAGCUCGAUGAGUAGGGCGGGACACGUGGUAUCCUGUCUGAAUAUGGGGGGACCAUCCUCCAAGGCUAAAUACUCCUGACUGACCGAUAGUGAACCAGUACCGUGAGGGAAAGGCGAAAAGAACCCCGGCGAGGGGAGUGAAAAAGAACCUGAAACCGUGUACGUACAAGCAGUGGGAGCACCCUUUGGGUGUGACUGCGUACCUUUUGUAUAAUGGGUCAGCGACUUAUAUUCUGUAGCAAGGUUAACCGAAUAGGGGAGCCGGAGGGAAACCGAGUCUUAAUUGGGCGUUAAGUUGCAGGGUAUAGACCCGAAACCCGGUGAUCUAGCCAUGGGCAGGUUGAAGGUUGGGUAACACUAACUGGAGGACCGAACCGACUAAUGUUGAAAAAUUAGCGGAUGACCUGUGGCUGGGGGUGAAAGGCCAAUCAAACCGGGAGAUAGCUGGUUCUCCCCGAAAGCUAUUUAGGUAGCGCCUCGUGAAUUCAUCUCCGGGGGUAGAGCACUGUUUCGGCUAGGGGGCCAUCCCGGCUUACCAACCCGAUGCAAACUGCGAAUACCGGAGAAUGUUAUCACGGGAGACACACGGCGGGUGCUAACGUCCGUCGUGAAGAGGGAAACAACCCAGACCGCCAGCUAAGGUCCCAAAGUCAUGGUUAAGUGGGAAACGAUGUGGGAAGGCCCAGACAGCCAGGAUGUUGGCUUAGAAGCAGCCAUCAUUUAAAGAAAGCGUAAUAGCUCACUGGUCGAGUCGGCCUGCGCGGAAGAUGUAACGGGGCUAAACCAUGCACCGAAGCUGCGGCAGCGACGCUUAUGCGUUGUUGGGUAGGGGAGCGUUCUGUAAGCCUGCGAAGGUGGCCUGUGAGGGUUGCUGGAGGUAUCAGAAGUGCGAAUGCUGACAUAAGUAACGAUAAAGCGGGUGAAAAGCCCGCUCGCCGGAAGACCAAGGGUUCCUGUCCAACGUUAAUCGGGGCAGGGUGAGUCGACCCCUAAGGCGAGGCCGAAAGGCGUAGUCGAUGGGAAACGGGUUAAUAUUCCCGUACUUGGUGUUACUGCGAAGGGGGGACGGAGAAGGCUAUGUUGGCCGGGCGACGGUUGUCCCGGUUUAAGCGUGUAGGCUGGUUUUCCAGGCAAAUCCGGAAAAUCAAGGCUGAGGCGUGAUGACGAGGCACUACGGUGCUGAAGCAACAAAUGCCCUGCUUCCAGGAAAAGCCUCUAAGCAUCAGGUAACAUCAAAUCGUACCCCAAACCGACACAGGUGGUCAGGUAGAGAAUACCAAGGCGCUUGAGAGAACUCGGGUGAAGGAACUAGGCAAAAUGGUGCCGUAACUUCGGGAGAAGGCACGCUGACACGUAGGUGAAGUGAUUUACUCACGGAGCUGAAGUCAGUCGAAGAUACCAGCUGGCUGCAACUGUUUAUUAAAAACACAGCACUGUGCAAACACGAAAGUGGACGUAUACGGUGUGACGCCUGCCCGGUGCCGGAAGGUUAAUUGAUGGGGUCAGCGCAAGCGAAGCUCCUGAUCGAAGCCCCGGUAAACGGCGGCCGUAACUAUAACGGUCCUAAGGUAGCGAAAUUCCUUGUCGGGUAAGUUCCGACCUGCACGAAUGGCGUAAUGAUGGCCAGGCUGUCUCCACCCGAGACUCAGUGAAAUUGAACUCGCUGUGAAGAUGCAGUGUACCCGCGGCAAGACGGAAAGACCCCGUGAACCUUUACUAUAGCUUGACACUGAACAUUGAGCCUUGAUGUGUAG